This 456-nucleotide ribosomal RNA is filed under the name uncultured bacterium. Its description in RNAcentral is "bacterial SSU rRNA". It matches the Rfam family "Bacterial small subunit ribosomal RNA", at positions 340 to 786 of the family's 1533-position model. The record is from RNAcentral.
UACGGGAGGCAGCAGUGGGGAAUAUUGCACAAUGGGCGAAAGCCUGAUGCAGCUAUGCCGCGUGUAUGAAGAAGGCCUUAGGGUUGUAAAGUACUUUCAUCGGGGAGGAAAAAACAAAACUAAUAAUUUUAUUUCUUGACGUUACCCGAAAAAGAAGCACCGGCUAACUCCGUGCCAGCAGCCGCGGUAAUACGGAGGGUGCUAGCGUUAAUCAGAAUUACUGGGCGUAAAGAGCACGUAGGUGGUUUUUUUAAGUCAGAUGUGAAAUCCCUGGGCUUAACCUGGAACUGCAUUUUUGAAACUGAAAUACUAGAGUAUCGUAGAGGGAGGUAGAAUUCUAGGUGUAGCGGUGAAAUGCGUAGAUAUCUGGAGGAAUACCUGUGGCGAAAGCGGCCUCCUAAACGAAUACUGACACUGAGGUGCGAAAGCGUGGGGAGCAAACAGGGAUUAGAUACC